AUUAAUUGCUUUGAAAAUUGACAGAAAAAUACAGUAAACUUUUAUGGGGAUCAGCCAAAACAACCUCUAGGAAUAUCCCCGUUUCAUAUUAUGACAAAAGAAAAAAAAAUCAAAUUUAGUAAUGGUAUGCUUUCGUUUGUUUCCUCCUUAAAGCUUGAUAGGAAAUUCUAAACCCUAUAAGGAGAACCUCCUUAAGAACUGCUAGCUCCCCCCCAGAAAAAAGUGCAGGAAAAAAGAAACCCAAUAAUGGCACAAGCUUCUUCGGUUGUUUACAACAACAAGAGGAAACUUUGGGUGCCGCUUCCUUUACACGGUUUUGUUGUUGCAGUGGCAGUGCUUUUGCUUUGUUUUGCACCCAUUAACAUUUCGGCCGCCGCGAGACAACAAUCUCCGCCGCUGCAGCUAUCGUAGAAGCUGAGGUUCGGUCGGACCGGGGAGUUUAAGAUACAACAAGUGGCGGACAUGCACUAUGCUGAUGGUAAAACAACGCCGUGUUUGAAUGUGUUGCCUAGUCAGGUUCAUGGUUGCUCUGAUCUCAACACUAGUGCGUUUAUCCAGCGCAUGAUCCAAGCUGAGAAACCAAAUUUAAUCGUUUUCACAGGGGAUAACAUCUUUGGAUUCGAAGGCAAAGAUUCAGCCAAAUCAUUAAAUGCAGCAUUUGCCCCUGCAAUUGCUGCAGGGAUUCCAUGGGCUGCUGUAUUGGGGAACCAUGACCAGCAAGGCACCUUAUCUAGGGAAGGGGUUAUGAAACACAUAGUGGGGUUGAAGCAUACACUGUCUCAAUUCAAUCCACCUAAAGCACAUAUCAUAGAUGGUUUUGGCAACUAUAACCUGGAGGUGGGUGGGGUUGAAGGCUCUGGUUUUGCAAACAAAUCAGUCCUCAACCUCUACUUCCUUGACAGUGGCGAUUACUCCACGGUUCCUUCUAUCCCUGGCUAUGGCUGGAUUAAACCCUCUCAACAGCUAUGGUUUCAACGCACCUCUGCAAAACUUCAGAGCGCCUACAUGAGGCCACCAAUGGCUAAAAAAUCAUUUGCGCCAGGGCUUGUGUAUUUUCACAUCCCACUGCCUGAAUUUGCUAGUUUCGAUGCAUCUAACUUCACCGGGGUGAGACAAGAAGGGAUAAGUUCGGCUUCUAUAAACUCAGGCUUCCUCACAACAAUGGUAGAAGCAGGCGAUGUGAAGGCUGUUUUUACAGGCCACGAUCACCUCAACGACUUUUGUGGUCAAAUGACUGGAAUACAAUUGUGUUACGCUGGUGGUUUUGGGUAUCAAGCAUAUGGGAAAGCUGGGUGGUCAAGGAGAGCCAGGGUGGUGGUGGCAUCCUUAGAGAAGACAGAUGAAGGAGGUUGGGGGGCAGUGAAGUUGAUUAAUACAUGGAAGCGCCUUGAUGAUGAGCAUCUCACUGCCAUUGACAGCCAGGUCCUCUGGAGCAAGCACUUAACUCCUAAACUUUGAUUUUGCCAUCUACAUGGGGGGGGGGGGGGUUGAAAUCUUUUAUUAUUACUGCAUGUAAACAUUUGUAAAGAUGUGCAACAGUUGUUGAAGUUCUAUGUACGAUACAUGACAUUUUACCUCCUAAACUAUAACUACUUUUUCACA
This is an RNA transcript of Gossypium raimondii (Peruvian cotton), 1602 nucleotides long. It is a transcript of the gene named probable inactive purple acid phosphatase 29, with no coding region annotated. NCBI's taxonomy places the organism in Eukaryota, Viridiplantae, Streptophyta, Magnoliopsida, Malvales, Malvaceae. The record is from RefSeq and is a predicted model, not a curated record. The transcript has 3 exons.